CCGAUUUGCGAGUAUAAAUAAUUUAUUCAUUUGUUUCACAAACUUUAUUACAAAGAAUCAUAAUCUCAUGUAAAUUUCUUUUUAAACAAAUAAAGAUAUAGAAAAAAACAAUAAUAACGUUUGCUACAAUACAUUGAAAAUUAAGAGUUUUUAAUUAAAUCGCUUGUAUUAUUAAUUUUAUUAUUGUUACUAAUUUUCAUUAUUGUAAGAGGAAAUAAGCACUUUCUUUAAAGAAAUCAGUCAGGAAUAUAAGUUACGUUCUUUUCUUAUUAUUAAAAAAUGUUUUCUUUCGUAUUUAAUUGCUGUAACUGUAUUUAAUUUAAUUAUAACAUGGAAAAAUACGACUGCUGUGUUUUGCGUCUUUUUAAUUAGAUUAUGGGCAAAGUAAAAGUACGUUCGUUAUUUCUGAUUGGUCAGUCUGUUGCAGUUACUAUGACAACAAUUCGGGUGCUCACAAUUCGGGGUUACAGGACGACUAAUCCUGCGACUUUCAAACAUUAUCCUGCGGACAAUCGACGCAAAAUAAGGGCGGACAAUUGUAGCAUAAUUUUAUUUUCAGGAGAUAAUGGGCAUUUUACGAAGAAACUUAAGGAUAAUUUGGAGACAACUUUUUUGGAUUAAAGAGGUUUUACACAGAUGAGAUACACAGAAUUACAAAACUUUACACAAAGUUUUUAUUAACCGAUAUCUUACAACAUGCGACAGCGCGGCUACGCGAAUAGUGUACGUGGAUUCUCUCGCGGAAACUUUCUUCAGCAAUGUGGGCACCGUAUCAUACCGAAAACGUCACAUUUGGCGCACUUUAGGGCAACGAAUUCCACGGUGAACCCGUUGCGAUGGACAGAUCUCUUGCUGCCGUGACAGAUGGGACAUAGCAGCCGCUGGAAUCCGCCGCAGUAGAUACAAACAGCGCAUGCAUCCUUACACUGGAAAGCAAACAUUUUACAAUGUUGAAUUAAACCCAUUACGAAACUAACGAUAAUUAAUUGCUUGUAACGGCACUCAGUAGAUUUUAACGCAGACUUGACUUCUAUUAAAGCCGCAGCAUGCGGCGGUUGUUUACGCAGAAAUUUUUCACUAGCGAAUUAAAGUAAGAUACCAAUCUUAAUUAUAAAUCAAAUUCUAAAUACAAUUUCACUUUGCAAUAUCAAAUAUUUUGCAGAUGUAUUAACAGAAUUGUAAAAAAAAUUUUCUUAUUAAAGUCUUUCUUUAAAGUCUCU
Molecule: long non-coding RNA, 1220 nt
Organism: Monomorium pharaonis (pharaoh ant)
Lineage: Eukaryota; Metazoa; Arthropoda; Insecta; Hymenoptera; Formicidae
Exons: 2
Source: RefSeq, a predicted model, not a curated record